This 1700-nucleotide ribosomal RNA is filed under the name Isoptericola sp. CG 20/1183. RNAcentral describes it as "bacterial LSU rRNA". It matches the Rfam family "Bacterial large subunit ribosomal RNA", at positions 1432 to 2925 of the family's 2925-position model. Lineage: Bacteria; Bacillati; Actinomycetota; Actinomycetes; Micrococcales; Promicromonosporaceae. The record is from RNAcentral.
GAUAUUCUCCUACCGGCGAAGAACCGCCCAUACCGAGCCCGGUGAUGCUAACCACCCCGGACCACCACCGUCACCUUCGGGUGACACCGGUGGCGAGGCGUGGGACCCGAACCGGUAGUAGGUAAGCGUAUUAACAGGGGUGACGCAGGAAGGUAGCCCGGCGUGGCGAUGGUAGACCACGUCCAAGGCCGUAGCCGGCUUCGUAGGUAAAUCCGCGAAGCACGUACGGUGAGAGCUGACGGUGACCGCUCAAGCGGGAAUCGGGUGAUCCUCUGCUGCCAAGAAAAGCCUCGACGCGAGGUUCUAGCCGCCCGUACCCCAAACCGACUCAGGUGGUCAGGUAGAGAAUACCAAGGCGAUCGAGCAAAUCGUGGUUAAGGAACUCGGCAAAAUGCCCCCGUAACUUCGGGAGAAGGGGGGCCCGAACUGUCCAACCCCUUGCGGGUGACGGCGGUAAGGGCCGCAGAGACCAGGGAGAAGCGACUGUUUACUAAAAACACAGGUCCGUGCGAAGUCGCAAGACGAUGUAUACGGACUGACGCCUGCCCGGUGCUGGAAGGUUAAGAGGACGGGUCAGCCUUCGGGCGAAGCCCAGAAUUUAAGCCCCAGUAAACGGCGGUGGUAACUAUAACCAUCCUAAGGUAGCGAAAUUCCUUGUCGGGUAAGUUCCGACCUGCACGAAUGGCGUAACGACUUCUCCGCUGUCUCAACCGCGAACUCGGCGAAAUUGCACUACGAGUAAAGAUGCUCGUUACGCGCAGCAGGACGGAAAGACCCCGGGACCUUUACUAUAGCUUGGUAUUGGUGUUCGGUGCGGUUUGUGUAGGAUAGGUGGGAGACUAUGAAGCCCGCGCGCCAGCGCGAGUGGAGUCGCCGUUGAAAUACCACUCUGACCGCAUCGACCAUCUAACCUCGGUCCGUGAUCCGGAUCAGGGACAGUGCCUGGUGGGUAGUUUAACUGGGGCGGUUGCCUCCCAAAAUGUAACGGAGGCGCUCAAAGGUUCCCUCAGCCUGGUUGGCAAUCAGGUGUCGAGUGCAAGUGCACAAGGGAGCUUGACUGUGAGACCGACAGGUCGAGCAGGGACGAAAGUCGGAACUAGUGAUCCGGCGGUGGCUUGUGGAAGCGCCGUCGCUCAACGGAUAAAAGGUACCCCGGGGAUAACAGGCUGAUCUUCCCCAAGAGUCCAUAUCGACGGGAUGGUUUGGCACCUCGAUGUCGGCUCGUCGCAUCCUGGGGCUGGAGUAGGUCCCAAGGGUUGGGCUGUUCGCCCAUUAAAGCGGCACGCGAGCUGGGUUUAGAACGUCGUGAGACAGUUCGGUCCCUAUCCGCUGCGCGCGCAGGAAACUUGAGAAGGGCUGUCCCUAGUACGAGAGGACCGGGACGGACGAACCUCUGGUAUGCCAGUUGUUCCGCCAGGAGCACCGCUGGUUCGCUACGUUCGGAAGGGAUAACCGCUGAAAGCAUCUAAGCGGGAAGCCUGCUUCAAGAUGAGGUUUCCAUCCCCCUCGUGGGGUGAAGGCACCCAGCUAGACCACUGGGUAGAUAGGCCGGAAGUGGAAGACAGGACCAACGACUGUCGCAGCUGACCGGUACUAAUAAGCCAACAACUUCAACACCAACACUUCUGCUAUGCACGCGUCCACUGUGCGGUUCCCGAGAAACGGGCACCACCCACACACCCCCCACCCCCACCACAGGG